Molecule: long non-coding RNA, 404 nt
Organism: Synchiropus splendidus (mandarinfish)
Lineage: Eukaryota; Metazoa; Chordata; Actinopteri; Syngnathiformes; Callionymidae
Exons: 3
Source: RefSeq, a predicted model, not a curated record
UCGUCCAGUGAGUUAGGAAGGUCCUACAGGUGAGUUGUAAAGGUGAUUCGUUCCGGGAAUAGGUGACUGGAGUAACUCUGCGAAACUUCCUUGUACUAAGUCAUGAUGAAACCGGCCAUUGGAACGCAUCAUGCAUGAAGAUGGAGGCAUCAAAAGCAAGGACGCCCGGACAGUGUCUGUCAUUUCACUCAGAUCCUCUUCCUGCUGACGUGCAUCUUCACCCACGUAUUGUCCGUCAGCAUCAACAGAUGAUGGAAGAUAAACCCAGGCUCCACAUAAGGCUUCAACUUUGCAGACGUGGGGAGCUGUCAUUUUACAACACCAUGUGACGAGGAUGACACUCAACCUUUAUGACAGCUGCUGGACAGCAGACACACUCUCUGUGGAGAUGUGAUAUUUCUUCA